GACGAACGCUGGCGGCGUGCCUAAUACAUGCAAGUAGAACGCUGAAGAGAGGAGCUUGCUCUUCUUGAAUGAGUUGCGAACGGGUGAGUAACGCGUAGGUAACCUGCCUUGUAGCGGGGGAUAACUAUUGGAAACGAUAGCUAAUACCGCAUAACAAUGGGUGACACAUGUCAUUUAUUUGAAAGGGGCAAUUGCUCCACUACAAGAUGGACCUGCGUUGUAUUAGCUAGUAGGUGAGGUAACGGCUCACCUAGGCGACGAUACAUAGCCGACCUGAGAGGGUGAUCGGCCACACUGGGACUGAGACACGGCCCAGACUCCUACGGGAGGCAGCAGUAGGGAAUCUUCGGCAAUGGGGGCAACCCUGACCGAGCAACGCCGCGUGAGUGAAGAAGGUUUUCGGAUCGUAAAGCUCUGUUGUAAGUCAAGAAUGAGUGUGAGAGUGGAAAGUUCACACUGUGACGGUAGCUUACCAGAAAGGGACGGCUAACUACGUG
RNAcentral lists this ribosomal RNA (497 nucleotides) under uncultured bacterium. RNAcentral's name for it is "partial 16S ribosomal RNA". It matches the Rfam family "Bacterial small subunit ribosomal RNA", at positions 28 to 507 of the family's 1533-position model. The record is from RNAcentral.